AAGAAAAAAGAUUACAAGUAAACUACUCCUAGAAAGUGCUAAAAAAAUACAGAGAAAAUAAAGGUGGUCUUCUACUCUCGGGAAAAAGACCUAUCUUUUGGGCGUUAUUCGCCUAUUUAUAAUCCGCCCUUGUUAAUCAAUUAUUGUUCCAUUCAUGAUCGACCACUUCCCUUCUUCUUCAGGCUACUUCAAGCCAAUCAAAACCGCAUAUAACCGCUUGCAGUUAUGCUUUGCGGUUACUCAAUUAUUUUGCUAGUACUCCCGAUGC
Molecule: long non-coding RNA, 268 nt
Filed under: Ananas comosus (pineapple)
Lineage: Eukaryota; Viridiplantae; Streptophyta; Magnoliopsida; Poales; Bromeliaceae
Description: long non-coding RNA (ACOM_LNC005464)
Source: RNAcentral